RNAcentral lists this unclassified non-coding RNA (200 nucleotides) under Helotiales sp. RNAcentral describes it as "partial internal transcribed spacer 2". Lineage: Eukaryota; Fungi; Ascomycota; Leotiomycetes; Helotiales. The record is from RNAcentral.
UUAAGUUCAGCGGGUAUCCCUACCUGAUCCGAGGUCAACCGUAGAAGGGGUCGCUGGCGGGCGCGCGCUCGGGGCCGGUAGCGAGGGGUUGUACUACGCUCCAGCACCGGGCGGCACCGCCACUAGCUUUGGGGCCCGCCAGACGGCGAGCCCAGGACCCAGCGGGGCUGGGAUAGGCUAUAAUGACGCUCGAACAGGCA